GAAGGUGUGCUGUGAGGCAUGCUGGAGGUAUCAGAAGUGCGAAUGCUGACAUAAGUAACGAUAAAGCGGGUGAAAAGCCCGCUCGCCGGAAGACCAAGGGUUCCUGUCCAACGUUAAUCGGGGCAGGGUGAGUCGACCCCUAAGGCGAGGCCGAAAGGCGUAGUCGAUGGGAAACAGGUUAAUAUUCCUGUACUUGGUGUUACUGCGAAGGGGGGACGGAGAAGGCUAUGUUGGCCGGGCGACGGUUGUCCCGGUUUAAGCGUGUAGGCUGGUUUUCCAGGCAAAUCCGGAAAACUAAGGCUGAGGCGUGAUGACGAGGCACUACGGUGCUGAAGCAACAAAUGCCCUGCUUCCAGGAAAAGCCUCUAAGCAUCAGGUAACAUCAAAUCGUACCCCAAACCGACACAGGUGGUCAGGUAGAGAAUACCAAGGCGCUUGAGAGAACUCGGGUGAAGGAACUAGGCAAAAUGGUGCCGUAACUUCGGGAGAAGGCACGCUGAUAUGUAGGUGAAGCGACUUGCUCGUGGAGCUGAAAUCAGUCGAAGAUACCAGCUGGCUGCAACUGUUUAUUAAAAACACAGCACUGUGCAAACACGAAAGUGGACGUAUACGGUGUGACGCCUGCCCGGUGCCGGAAGGUUAAUUGAUGGGGUCAGCGCAAGCGAAGCUCUUGAUCGAAGCCCCGGUAAACGGCGGCCGUAACUAUAACGGUCCUAAGGUAGCGAAAUUCCUUGUCGGGUAAGUUCCGACCUGCACGAAUGGCGUAAUGAUGGCCAGGCUGUCUCCACCCGAGACUCAGUGAAAUUGAACUCGCUGUGAAGAUGCAGUGUACCCGCGGCAAGACGGAAAGACCCCGUGAACCUUUACUAUAGCUUGACACUGAACAUUGAGCCUUGAUGUGUAGGAUAGGUGGGAGGCUUUGAAGUGUGGACGCCAGUCUGCAUGGAGCCGACCUUGAAAUACCACCCUUUAAUGUUUGAUGUUCUAACGUUGACCCGUGAUCCGGGUUGCGGACAGUGUCUGGUGGGUAGUUUGACUGGGGCGGUCUCCUCCUAAAGAGUAACGGAGGAGCACGAAGGUUGGCUAAUCCUGGUCGGACAUCAGGAGGUUAGUGCAAUGGCAUAAGCCAGCUUGACUGCGAGCGUGACGGCGCGAGCAGGUGCGAAAGCAGGUCAUAGUGAUCCGGUGGUUCUGAAUGGAAGGGCCAUCGCUCAACGGAUAAAAGGUACUCCGGGGAUAACAGGCUGAUACCGCCCAAGAGUUCAUAUCGACGGCGGUGUUUGGCACCUCGAUGUCGGCUCAUCACAUCCUGGGGCUGAAGUAGGUCCCAAGGGUAUGGCUGUUCGCCAUUUAAAGUGGUACGCGAGCUGGGUUUAGAACGUCGUGAGACAGUUCGGUCCCUAUCUGCCGUGGGCGCUGGAGAACUGAGGGGGGCUGCUCCUAGUACGAGAGGACCGGAGUGGACGCAUCACUGGUGUUCGGGUUGUCAUGCCAAUGGCACUGCCCGGUAGCUAAAUGCGGAAGAGAUAAGUGCUGAAAGCAUCUAAGCACGAAACUUGCCCCGAGAUGAGUUCUCCCUGACUCCUUGAGAGUCCUGAAGGAACGUUGAAGACGACGACGUUGAUAGGCCGGGUGUGUAAGCGCAGCGAUGCGUUGAGCUAACCGGUACUAAUGAACCGUGAGG
RNAcentral lists this ribosomal RNA (1684 nucleotides) under Escherichia coli. Its description in RNAcentral is "bacterial LSU rRNA". It matches the Rfam family "Bacterial large subunit ribosomal RNA", at positions 1252 to 2915 of the family's 2925-position model. Lineage: Bacteria; Pseudomonadati; Pseudomonadota; Gammaproteobacteria; Enterobacterales; Enterobacteriaceae. The record is from RNAcentral.